GAACAUUUAGCCUCCCCCAAGACUCCAUCUUCAGGCCUCCUUCCCUCACCAUCUCCAAGGCUGCGGCUCCAGGACACAAGCUGACCACCCUGCCCAACCCGAAGUCCUCGACUGAUGCUCAGCGCUUAUAGGUUCAAGUCCAGGCUCCCUAGCAUAGCACUGAAGUCAUGGCUCAGUUUACCCUUCCAAGCCUGUCUCCCCCAAGUCCUGCCCUCCUCCUCUCAUCACUGCCAAGUACAUCAAGCACUCCCACGUGGCUGGGCUUUAACCCAAGCUGCUCUCUCUUCCCAGAAGGCUCUUCUCUGACUUGCUGCCAAAACACAAAGUCGCUUGGAGGUGAAGGCAAAUAUUAGUUCAGCUGGCAAGCUCCUCUCCACGUCCUCAUCAAAGCCCCCAGCUCCAUGAGCUUCUGGGCUGUUCCUGUGGAUUUCUGCACUCUCUGUGUUGAAACAUCUGUAAUGGGUUAUAGCUGGGAGUUGGAAUGUCUGCCUCCCUUUUCGCUGAGAAGAAGGGGGUCUUUACAGGAUCGAACGCUCCCUGGGUUCUGUCUCCUUCCUUUCAAUAUAGUGAGCAGUUCCUCCCACCUAGUGGGUUCUCCUUAGAUGUCUGGGAGGUCAUCUAUCCAGUGCUGGCUGUUGCAGAUCUGUGCAGUUGCUUUUUGAACAGGACCCACAUCCGUCUUCCAAAAUAUCUAAAAUUAGGUCUUUGACAGUUCCUGAAAAUGUUAGUUAUCAUAUAAUCCAGCAACUCCACUCCAAGGUAUAUAGCCAAAAGAAUUGAAAUCAUAUUCCACACAAAAAUGUAUACCUGAAUGCUCAUAGCAGCAUUAUUCACAAUAGCCAAGAAAUGGAAACCACCCAAAUGUCCAUCAACCCACAAAGGCAUAAGUGAACUGUGA
RNAcentral lists this long non-coding RNA (898 nucleotides) under Homo sapiens (human). Its description in RNAcentral is "non-protein coding lnc-MARCH6-1:1". Lineage: Eukaryota; Metazoa; Chordata; Mammalia; Primates; Hominidae. The record is from RNAcentral.